GUUUAGCCCUGCUGCCUGGACACUCGUGAUGCGGCCCCAGUUCUCACUGCCACUGGGUGCCCGGUUUCUAGAAAAACCAAUCAGCGUCUUUGCGGAUCCCGGUUAUAAAGUCUCCACCGACCCGGCCAGGCUGCUUCUUCCUAGACCCAGAGGAUGCGAGUUAUGGGGCCGCGAACCUUUCUCCUGCUCCUUUCGGGGACUCUGGUCCUGACCGAGACCCGGGCUGGCUCCCACUCCAUGAGGUAUUUCUACACCGCCGUGUCCCGGCCCGGCCUCGGGGAGCCCCGCUUCAUCGCCGUCGGCUACGUGGACGACACGCAGUUCGUGCGGUUCGACAGCGACGCCCCGAAUCCGAGGAAAGAACCGAGGGCGCCAUGGAUAGAGAAGGAGGGGCCCGAGUAUUGGGAUGGGGAGACUCAGAAACAAAAGGGCCACGCACAGAUUUUCCGAGUGAACCUGAACAACCUGCGCGGCUACUACAACCAGAGCAAGGCCGGAGAUGUACGGCUGCGACGUGGGGCCGGACGGGCGCCUCCUCCGCGGGUUCUCGCAGUACGCCUACGACGGCAGAGAUUACCUCGCCCUGAACGAGGACCUGCGCUCCUGGACCGCGGCGGACACGGCGGCUCAGAUCUCCAAGCGCAAGUUUGAGCAAGGCGGUGAGGCGGAUCACGACAGAAACUACCUGGAGGGCCGCUGCGUGGAGUGGCUCCACAGAUACCUGGGGCACGGGAAGGACACGCUGCUGCGCGCAGACCCUCCAAAGGCACAUGUGACCCAUCACCCCAUCUCUGACCGUGAGGUCACCCUGAGGUGCUGGGCCCUGGGCUUCUACCCUGAGGAGAUCUCACUGACCUGGCAGCGCAGUGGGGAGGACCAGACCCAGGACAUGGAGCUUGUGGAGACCAGGCCUUCAGGAGACGGAACCUUCCAGAAGUGGGCGGCCCUGGUGGUGCCUUCUGGAGCGGAGCAGAGAUACACGUGCCGUGUGCAGCACGAGGGGCUUCCGGAGCCCCUCACCCUAAGAUGGGGUAAGGAGGGAGAUGGGAUGGAGCUUCCUCUCAGAUAAAGCAGGAGCCCUUCAGGACUCAGUUCAGCAAGGUCAGGACUCAAACCUGAGGUCAGGGACCCUUCCCUUUCCUCCACAGAUCCUCCUCAGACCUCCUUCCUCACCGUGGGCAUCAUUGUUGGCCUGGUUCUCCUCGUGGUGGCUAUGGUGGCUGGAGUUGUGAUCUGGAGGAAGAAGCAUUCAGGUGAAAAAGGACGGAUCUACACCCAGGCUGCAAGCAAUGACAGUGCCCAGAGCUCUGAUGUGUCUCUCACGAUUCCUAAAGUGUGAGACAGCUGCCUUUGGGGACUGAGUGAUGCUCAGUCCCACUUUGUGACGUCAGAUCCCAGGACCCCUCUAUCUGCAGCUGCAUCUGAAUGUGUCUGUGUUCCUAUUAGCAUGUGAGGAGGUGGGGAGACUGGCCAACCCUGCCAACCACGGCCUCUCCCCACCCUGACCUGUGUUCUCCUCCCUCAUCCACUGUCCUGCCCCAGCAGAGACGGGGCUGGGCCAUUCAAUCCGUGUCUGCUUCAUAUGCACUGAGUAAUGAUGUCAUAUUUCCUUACUGAAAAUAAAAUCUGUAUAUAUGAA
Molecule: non-coding RNA, 1639 nt
Organism: Odocoileus virginianus texanus
Lineage: Eukaryota; Metazoa; Chordata; Mammalia; Artiodactyla; Cervidae
Source: RefSeq, a predicted model, not a curated record